Molecule: ribosomal RNA, 490 nt
Filed under: uncultured bacterium
Lineage: Bacteria
Description: partial 16S ribosomal RNA
Rfam family: Bacterial small subunit ribosomal RNA
Source: RNAcentral
AGUGAACGCUGGCGGCAGGCCUAACACAUGCAAGUCGAACGGCAGCACAAGAGAGCUUGCUCUCUGGGUGGCGAGUGGCGGACGGGUGAGGAAUGCAUCGGAAUCUGCCCAUUUGUGGGGGAUAACCUCGGGAAACCGGGACUAAUACCGCAUACGACCUACGGGUGAAAGCAGGGGAUCUUCGGACCUUGCGCAGAUGGAUGAGCCGAUGCCGGAUUAGCUAGUUGGAGGGGUAAAGGCCCACCAAGGCGACGAUCCGUAGCUGGUCUGAGAGGAUGAUCAGCCACACUGGGACUGAGACACGGCCCAGACUCCUACGGGAGGCAGCAGUGGGGAAUAUUGGACGAUGGGCGCAAGCCUGAUCCAGCCAAGCCGCGUGUGUGAAGAAGGCCUUCGGGUUGUAAAGCACUUUUGUUGGGAAAGAAAAGCAGCCGGUUAAUACCCGGUUGUCAUGACGGUACCCAAAGAAUAAGCACCGGCUAACUUCGUG